AUGAACGCCGGCGGCGUGCCUCAUACAUGCAAGUCGAGCGAACAGACGAGGAGCUUGCUCCUCUGACGUUAGCGGCGGACGGGUGAGUAACACGUGGAUAACCUACCUAUAAGACUGGGAUAACUUCGGGAAACCGGAGCUAAUACCGGAUAAUAUAUUGAACCGCAUGGUUCAAUAGUGAAAGACGGUUUUGCUGUCACUUAUAGAUGGAUCCGCGCCGCAUUAGCUAGUUGGUAAGGUAACGGCUUACCAAGGCAACGAUGCGUAGCCGACCUGAGAGGGUGAUCGGCCACACUGGAACUGAGACACGGUCCAGACUCCUACGGGAGGCAGCAGUAGGGAAUCUUCCGCAAUGGGCGAAAGCCUGACGGAGCAACGCCGCGUGAGUGAUGAAGGUCUUCGGAUCGUAAAACUCUGUUAUUAGGGAAGAACAAAUGUGUAAGUAACUAUGCACGUCUUGACGGUACCUAAUCAGAAAGCCACGGCUAACUACGUG
RNAcentral lists this ribosomal RNA (496 nucleotides) under uncultured bacterium. RNAcentral's name for it is "partial 16S ribosomal RNA". It matches the Rfam family "Bacterial small subunit ribosomal RNA", at positions 29 to 507 of the family's 1533-position model. The record is from RNAcentral.